AUUGAACGCUGGCGGCAUGCCUUACACAUGCAAGUCGAACGGCAGCACGGGUGCUUGCACCUGGUGGCGAGUGGCGAACGGGUGAGUAAUACAUCGGAACAUGUCCUGUAGUGGGGGAUAGCCCGGCGAAAGCCGGAUUAAUACUGCAUACGAUCUACGGAUGAAAGCGGGGGACCUUCGGGCCUCGCGCUAUAGGGUUGGCCGAUGGCUGAUUAGCUAGUUGGUGGGGUAAAGGCCUACCAAGGCGACGAUCAGUAGCUGGUCUGAGAGGACGACCAGCCACACUGGGACUGAGACACGGCCCAGACUCCUACGGGAGGCAGCAGUGGGGAAUUUUGGACAAUGGGCGAAAGCCUGAUCCAGCAAUGCCGCGUGUGUGAAGAAGGCCUUCGGGUUGCAAAGCACUUUUGUCCGGAAAGAAAUCCUUGGCCCUAAUACGGUCGGGGGAUGACGGUACCGGAAGAAUAAGCACCGGCUAACUACGUG
RNAcentral lists this ribosomal RNA (486 nucleotides) under uncultured bacterium. RNAcentral describes it as "partial 16S ribosomal RNA". It matches the Rfam family "Bacterial small subunit ribosomal RNA", at positions 30 to 507 of the family's 1533-position model. The record is from RNAcentral.